UUGGUACUGAAAGUGGCCCAAACUACUUCCUACACUGCAGCGAAAAUAAGUACGCCCUUGCAAUAUUACAUAACAUCAAAAUAUCGUUUUUACUUAUUUUUGUUGUAUCAUUCAUUUUUAAGUUUAAAUUCAGAUUAAUGAUAAUUUAUAUCAAUUAUUAGUGAUAAGAGAAGAAUAAUUUAUAUAUCAAUUAUUAGUGAUAAGAGAAGAAGGAAGAAUGAUGUAUGUUUUUAGCGUGUGGUUUGAUCAUGCAUUCGGCAUAGCGUGAGGCAGGGAAAGAGAGUGAAGGAAUUUGUUUUAGAAUGGUUGAUAAUUUUGAAAAUGAUUUUGAAUUGAAUUGGAACGAAUUUUGUUUGCGUCAGAUAUGUUGUUACUACUGUACCUGGCAUACAUGUAAUAGUUAAAUUAUAUUCGAGUGUGUUUGCAUAUAUGGUGGUUAAAUAAUGAUAAAGACGUUUAAGAUUUGUAUGGCGAAUUAAGCGAGAGUGCUGAAAAAGGUAUGAAUAGUAAUGUGAGAGUAUCAAUUUCGAAGAGAGAGAGAGAGAGAGAGAGAGAGAGUGAGUGAAUUGAUAAAAAAGAAUACGAACGAAAUAACAAGCGUUUUAAUUACGGAAAUUAAUAGUCAAAUAAUUGUGAAUCUAAGAAUAAAUAGACCGUCAGAAUGUGGGGUCAUUUUGUAAUAUAAUGGUGUUGAAUUGGCUGGAUGAUAUGCUAAGAUGUAAUGAUGUAAUAGAUAAUAGACCUGUUUGUUGAAUGAGUGUUGUAUACAGAUGUUGGAGAUGAGAUGAGAUGGUGGUGACUCUAUUGUGAUGUUAGGAAGCUUUUCCAAGCCCUUUUAAUUUGCUAAGUAUACACGAUUCUAUAUAUUUUAUUGCUGCAUACGUGUUCGUUUCCAUAGUAUGAGUGUAUUGUGUGUGCAUUAAGUUUCCAAAGACGUUCAUUUAACAACAUUGUAAGAUUACUCUGAAUUAAAUAAUUGAUUAGAUCAAUGCAAAUAUAGAAGAAAAGAAUCUGAUAUUAAUCAAAGGUCUCUAUAAAAAUAAUUUUCAUUUUUCGUUUUAAAUUUUUGGUGUUGGGUAAUCAAUCGUUUAGUUCUUUUGCAAAUUGACUACUCGUUAUUUUUCCUUUUAUGUAAAUGUGCUCUUAUACACACGUCAACAGUUCUAUAUUUCUAUAUAUAUAUGCAUAUAUAAGAAAAUGCCAUUAACCAAGUUUAUUUAGCAUGCAAUAAUAGCACGUACAUCAUAAUAUGCAUACCCAAUUUGCGAUAAAAAGAUCAAAGCAAACAGCAUACAGCAUAUAGUUAGCAUAAUACACCAGUUUUCCUCAGUGUAAAAAUUCGUAUUAUUCGGCUUUGAUGGUUUUUUUUAACUACAUUUUCCAAUUAGUUUUUCUUCUUGUAUUCAAUUUAUUUUCACAUCUACUAUAUAUAUAUAUAUACUUCAAAUUCAAAAAUUCGACAAUAUCGGCAAAAUCAUCACUACCCGAAAACGUAUAGUAUACUAGAUAUGAAUGAAUGCCUAAUGAAUAUUGUGAUACUCUUUUGUUAUGGGUAAGAGCAAUAUAAAAUAUCGAAAGCUUAUUUUAUUAUGUAUGUUUUUUGUUUGACAUGUACAUAUAAAGACUUUUUUCUUUGAUACCUAUAUACAGUAUACAUUCUAAAUUAAUAAUCAAUCAGUUGUUUGAAUUACAUUUAUUUUGCAAUAUAAACUGUUCUACACUAAAGCAGGUCAGAUUGUGUUCGUAAUUCAUUUGUAAUUAAUAUUUUGUUAUAUAUUUUCAUGAUUGAAAAGUUCUUGACUUCUAACCUUUUUUCGCCUUCAUCCGCCCACACCCCCCCUACUACGAUCAUCUUUGUGAUUUUCGCAAAUAUAAAAUUUCGAAUUUCGAUUUUUGAUUUCCCCAACUGUUUAAUGCAUUAAACUUUACUUCAAGGGUGAGGUUUUCCCCCAUUGUUUCAAAUAAAAUAAAAAUUACUUGGUAUUUACGCAAAGUACCACAACUAAACCUCACCCGCCAAAUAUAUUAAAAGAGAGAUAUAAUUUUUGCUUUAAACUACGUUUGGAUGCUGGAAACCUUUGGAACUGAAUUUGAAUUGCGUUUGAAACAAACACCAAAGAAGGAUUGCAUGGUGGAGGCAACAAUUUGGAAUUUCGCACUUUUAUUUGAGCGAUAUUCUUGAAGAAUUAUUGACGAAUCAUUAUAUAAAACACUUGUUUGGCUUUUGCUCUGAGGCGUCUUUUCAAAACUUCUCCGCAUCGUCGUAGUUCCUGCUUCAUUAUAACUAAACGAGCAAACACGCCGAUUCCACGAAUCACUACCACAUCAGAUGACACCUACGAAGUAAUUUGACAAAUUAAUAUAUUCACAAUGGAAGUAAAUUUCUGCAUUAGUUAAAUUCUAAAUCGUACUAAAGCUAGUGAAAAUAUAAUGGAGAAAGUUCUGAAAAAUGUCGAAGACGCGAAGAGUAGUGUGUUCGAAAUUAUGAACUGCUUUUGUCCAGUGCACCUACGCUAAAAUAGCGUACGUCUACAAC
Molecule: long non-coding RNA, 2536 nt
Organism: Glossina fuscipes
Lineage: Eukaryota; Metazoa; Arthropoda; Insecta; Diptera; Glossinidae
Exons: 2
Source: RefSeq, a predicted model, not a curated record